This 484-nucleotide ribosomal RNA is filed under the name uncultured bacterium. RNAcentral's name for it is "bacterial SSU rRNA". It matches the Rfam family "Bacterial small subunit ribosomal RNA", at positions 372 to 874 of the family's 1533-position model. The record is from RNAcentral.
UGGGCGCAAGCCUGAUCCAGCCAUGCCGCGUGUGUGAUGAAGGCCUUAGGGUUGUAAAGCUCUUUCNCCGGUGAAGAUAAUGACGGUAACCGGAGAAGAAGCCCCGGCUAACUUCGUGCCAGCAGCCGCGGUAAUACGAAGGGGGCAAGCGUUGCUCGGAAUCACUGGGCGUAAAGCGUACGUAGGCGGGUCGUUAAGUCAGGGGUGAAAUCCUGGAGCUCAACUCCAGAACUGCCCUUGAUACUGGCGAUCUUGAGUUCGAGAGAGGUUGGUGGAAUUGCGAGUGUAGAGGUGAAAUUCGUAGAUAUUCGCAAGAACACCAGUGGCGAAGGCGGCCAACUGGCUCGAUACUGACGCUGAGGUACGAAAGCGUGGGGAGCAAACAGGAUUAGAUACCCUGGUAGUCCACGCCGUAAACGAUGGAUGCUAGCCGUUAGGCAGCUUGCUGCUUAGUGGCGCAGCUAACGCAUUAAGCWUCCCGCCU